Molecule: ribosomal RNA, 492 nt
Filed under: uncultured bacterium
Lineage: Bacteria
Description: partial 16S ribosomal RNA
Rfam family: Bacterial small subunit ribosomal RNA
Source: RNAcentral
AUUGAACGCUGGCGGUAGGCCUAACACAUGCAAGUCGAACGGCAGCACAGUAGCAACUUUGUCGUACGGGUGCGGACGGGUGGGUGGUUGAGGAAAACAUCGGCAGUUACGUUUUCUUGCAGGUCAACGGAGGGAAUCUUACCCUAUAAGUGCAUACGACCUACGGGUGGGAUCACGGGAUCUUCGGCCCUUGCGCGAUCGGAUGAGACGAUGUCGGAUUAGCUAGUUGGCGGGGUAAAGACCCACCAAGGCGACGAUCCGUAGCUGGUCUGAGAGGAUGAUCAGCCACACUGGAACUGAGACACGGUCCAGACUCCUACGGGAGGCAGCAGUGGGGAAUAUUGGACAAUGGGCGCAGGCCUGAUCCAGCCAUACCGCGUGAGUGAAGAAGGCCUUCGGGUUGUAAAGCCCUUUUGUUAGGAAAGAAAAGCAGCACUCUAAUACCCCGCUGUACUGACGGUACCCAAAGAAUAAGCACCGGCUAACUACGUG